This 255-nucleotide ribosomal RNA is filed under the name uncultured bacterium. RNAcentral's name for it is "partial 16S ribosomal RNA". It matches the Rfam family "Bacterial small subunit ribosomal RNA", at positions 524 to 776 of the family's 1533-position model. The record is from RNAcentral.
UACGUAGGGUGCAAGCGUUGUCCGGAUUUAUUGGGCGUAAAGAGCUCGUAGGCGGCUUAGAAAGUCAGGUGUGAAAACUCUGGGCUCAACCCAGAGACGCCACUUGAUACUUCUAUGGCUUGAGUUCGGUAGGGGACCAUGGAAUUCCUGUGUAGGCGGUGAAAUGACGCAGAUAUCAGGAGGAACACCGAUGGCGAAGGCAGUGGUCUGGGCCGAUACUGACGCUGAGGAGCGAAAGCGUGGGGAGCGAACAGG